This 500-nucleotide ribosomal RNA is filed under the name uncultured bacterium. Its description in RNAcentral is "partial 16S ribosomal RNA". It matches the Rfam family "Bacterial small subunit ribosomal RNA", at positions 30 to 523 of the family's 1533-position model. The record is from RNAcentral.
AUUGAACGCUGGCGGCAUGCCUUACACAUGCAAGUCGAACGGCAGCACGGGAGCAAUCCUGGUGGCGAGUGGCGAACGGGUGGGUAAAGUAUCGGAACGUGCCCAGUCGUGGGGGAUAACGUAGCGAAAGUUACGCUAAUACCGCAUACGAUCUAUGGAUGAAAGCGGGGGAUCGCAAGACCUCGCGCGAUUGGAGCGGCCGAUAUCAGAUUAGGUAGUUGGUGGGGUAAAGGCUCACCAAGCCGACGAUCUGUAGCUGGUCUGAGAGGACGACCAGCCACACUGGGACUGAGACACGGCCCAGACUCCUACGGGAGGCAGCAGUGGGGAAUUUUGGACAAUGGGCGAAAGCCUGAUCCAGCCAUGCCGCGUGCAGGAUGAAGGCCUUCGGGUUGUAAACUGCUUUUGUACGGAACGAAAAGGUUUGGCCUAAUAAGCUGAGCUCAUGACGGUACCGUAAGGAUAAGCACCGGCUAACUACGUGCCAGCCGCCGCUGUAA